Molecule: ribosomal RNA, 486 nt
Filed under: uncultured bacterium
Lineage: Bacteria
Description: partial 16S ribosomal RNA
Rfam family: Bacterial small subunit ribosomal RNA
Source: RNAcentral
AUUGAACGCUGGCGGCAUGCCUUACACAUGCAAGUCGAACGGCAGCACGGGUGCUUGCACCUGGUGGCGAGUGGCGAACGGGUGAGUAAUACAUCGGAACAUGUCCUGUAGUGGGGGAUAGCCCGGCGAAAGCCGGAUUAAUACCGCAUACGAUCCACGGAUGAAAGCGGGGGACCUUCGGGCCUCGCGCUAUAGGGUUGGCCGAUGGCUGAUUAGCUAGUUGGUGGGGUAAAGGCCUACCAAGGCGACGAUCAGUAGCUGGUCUGAGAGGACGACCAGCCACACUGGGACUGAGACACGGCCCAGACUCCUACGGGAGGCAGCAGUGGGGAAUUUUGGACAAUGGGCGAAAGCCUGAUCCAGCAAUGCCGCGUGUGUGAAGAAGGCCUUCGGGUUGUUAAGCACUUUUGUCCGGAAAGAAAUCCUUGACUCUAAUACAGUCGGGGGAUGACGGUACCGGAAGAAUAAGCACCGGCUAACUACGUG